RNAcentral lists this ribosomal RNA (1341 nucleotides) under Triticum aestivum (bread wheat). Its description in RNAcentral is "partial small subunit ribosomal RNA". Lineage: Eukaryota; Viridiplantae; Streptophyta; Magnoliopsida; Poales; Poaceae. The record is from RNAcentral.
AUGGGAGGAGGUCGUGGUAGAGGCCAGGACUGGCGAGGUAGAGCCAGAGGCAGAUUAUUUGAUGCAUGUGGUGGCCGUGGGAGAGGCAUGUUGUUUCCCGGAAGAGCAAACACUUCAGUUGCCGAGGAAGUGUCUCGAAAAUUGAGCGUUGAGAUAACCCCCGAUGAGCUAGAGAAGUGGCGUCAAUUCAAGAACCUAAAUCUUGGUGUUGAACAGCCUCAGGAGUCACAUGCAUCAUCCGCUUCAUCAGCAAAUUUUUCUGGUAAUAAUUCUCAUACUGUAAUGUGUACUGAUUAUCUUGCAGCUGGUGCACAAUGGUUAAUUGACUCAGGGGCUUCGAGACAUAUGAUUGGUUCUAUUAGGGAGUUGUCCAACUAUAUUCCUGUUUUUAAAAAGGAAAAUGUGAAAUUGGCUGAUGGUUCAACCCAAGCCAUUGUUGGGUCUGGAAUUGUCAAAUGCAGCCCAAAUAUGUCAUUAUCUUCAGUUUUACAUGUUCCAGCAUUCCCGAUUAAUCUUCUAUCUAUAAGCUGCAUCACUAGAGAGCUAAAUUGUGCUGCAAUAUUCUUCCCCACUUGGUGUAUUUUUCAGGAACUUGGAACUGGAAAAGAGAUUGGGAUAGGGAGCAUGCGUGAUGGGUUAUAUUACUUGGAUAGUAAUAUAUUUCCUGCAGUGGCUGCUACAGUGUCUCCCUCGUCACUAGAAGAAUUCCUACUUCAACAUCGUCGGUUGGGACAUCUUUCUUUUGCUAUUUUGGGUCAGAUUUACCCUAAUCUCUAUUGUAAAAUUAGUAAAGAACAACUAAUGUGUGAUGCCUGUCAGUAUGGAAAGCAAGUUAGGAGCUCUUAUUUAUCAUCUGAUAAUAGAAGUGAUGCGCCUUUGCAAACUAUACAUUCAGAUGUGUGGGGCCCUAGCAAAGUGACAUCUAUUAAUGGUUAUCGCUACUUUGUCACUUUCAUUGACUGCUGCACUAGAGCUACCUGGGUUUAUGUGUUACGCCAUAAAAGUGAAACAUUUGAAUGCUUUAGAGAUUUCCAUAAUCUGAUUAGGACUCAAUAUAGUGCUUGUGUGAAAGUGUUACGAACUGAUAAUGGCACAGAAUAUGUGAAUGGGGACUUUGAUGAAUAUUUGUCAAACUUUGGAAUUAUCCAUCAAACUACUUGCCUAGGUACUUCAGAACAGAAUGGUUUGGCAGAAAGGAAGAACAGGCAUAUUUUAGAAAUUGCAAGGUGCAUAAUGUUUGCCAAGAAUGUUCCAAAGUACUUGUGGAGUGAAGCAGUGAUGACUGCAGCUUAUUUGAUGAAUAGGAUGCCUUCUCGGGUCUUGGCUACAAGACACCAAUAG